GAGGCAGAUGGAAUUGGUGGUGUAGGGGUAAAAUCCGUAGAGAUCACCAGGAAUACCCAUUGCGAAGGCGAUCUGCUGGAACUCAACUGACGCUAAUGCGUGAAAGCGUGGGGAGCAAACAGGAUUAGAUACCCUGGUAGUCCACGCCCUAAACGAUGUAUACUAGUUGUUGCUAAGCUAGUCUUGGCAGUAAUGCACCUAACGGAUUAAGUAUACCGCCUGGGGAGUACGGUCGCAAGAUUAAAACUCAAAGGAAUAGACGGGGACCCGCACAAGCGGUGGAGCAUGUGGUUUAAUUCGAAGAUACGCGAAGAACCUUACCCGGACUUGAUAUCUAACAAAUCAUCUAGAGAUAGAAGAGUGUCUGCUUGCAGAAAUGUUAAGACAGGUGCUGCACGGCUGUCGUCAGCUCGUGUCGUGAGAUGUUGGGUUAAGUCCCGCAACGAGCGCAACCCACGUCAUUAGUUGCUAACAGUUCGGCUGAGCACUCUAAUGAGACUGCCUUCGUAAGGAGGAGGAAGGUGUGGACGACGUCAAGUC
This 540-nucleotide ribosomal RNA is filed under the name uncultured Campylobacter sp. Its description in RNAcentral is "bacterial SSU rRNA". It matches the Rfam family "Bacterial small subunit ribosomal RNA", at positions 654 to 1191 of the family's 1533-position model. The record is from RNAcentral. Lineage: Bacteria; Pseudomonadati; Campylobacterota; Epsilonproteobacteria; Campylobacterales; Campylobacteraceae.